CUUAUGAAUCUUAAAUGCGGAACUCGCUCAUAUUACUUUUUUCAGUGCAUCACUCACUCUUUCGUCUAGUAUCCAAAGAGAAUUAUUCAAAAGUUCGUUCUAACAGAAAAUUCAGUGUCACGCUUCAUCGAGCGCAUAUUACACGACGUAUUUCACAGCCAGAGGCACUAAAUAUCUAACAACGAGACUGCUUUAGCGCAAGCAAGAAUUUAGCUUCUAGUACUUAACACAUUUCAAGAGAAAGAGAAGUCGUAUACACAUAUAUAAUCUAUACGUACGUGCACGUAUAUACGUAUGCCUUCUACCAACGAUACGCUAUACAAAAGCGUAACCGGUGCAAGGAACUUCCGUCGUUCGAGCAAACCGGAUAAAUGCGGCACUGAGUUAUCGGUGCGAGAGGUGCCUACGUGCAAACAACAGUCGGACCGAACGUUUACGGAUUCGACAUGCGUAUUUGGGCGGAUAUCAACGUUUACUUGAAGCAGUUGGAUAGAUCCGCUCUCAGAGCACAUCACGUAUCUGACUACACAUCGAUUCUCGGAUAAUUAUUCAAAGCAAACGCGACCUCGUGUCGCGGAUCGGUAAUGCAUCGUAUUAGCCGCUUCCUUCUAUGUACAAGUCCAUACGCGCGGAUUUCAACAGACGUAACCUGUCGCGAAACACCACGCUGCGCAGAUGUUUCGACGGAUCUGUGAUCUUAUUCGAUGGGAAUGCAAAUCGGCCUGAUCGGAUUCCGCGAAAACUUCGGACGGAAUUACGUGCUCGAUUAUCG
RNAcentral lists this unclassified non-coding RNA (772 nucleotides) under Bombus terrestris (buff-tailed bumblebee). Its description in RNAcentral is "misc RNA ENSBTSG00005035524.1". Lineage: Eukaryota; Metazoa; Arthropoda; Insecta; Hymenoptera; Apidae. The record is from RNAcentral.